CAGCAGCCGCGGUAAUACGUAGGGUGCAAGCGUUAAUCGGAAUUACUGGGCGUAAAGCGUGCGCAGGCGGUUUGUUAAGACAGAUGUGAAAUCCCCGGGCUCAACCUGGGAACUGCAUUUGUGACUGGCAAGCUAGAGUCUGGCAGAGGGGGGUGGAAUUCCGCGUGUAGCAGUGAAAUGCGUAGAUAUGCGGAGGAACACCGAUGGCGAAGGCAGCCCCCUGGGCCAACACUGACGCUCAUGCACGAAAGCGUGGGGAGCAAACAGGAUUAGAUACCCCCGUAGUCCCUGUUUCUUAUAC
RNAcentral lists this ribosomal RNA (301 nucleotides) under uncultured bacterium. Its description in RNAcentral is "partial 16S ribosomal RNA". It matches the Rfam family "Bacterial small subunit ribosomal RNA", at positions 509 to 807 of the family's 1533-position model. The record is from RNAcentral.